Molecule: ribosomal RNA, 253 nt
Filed under: uncultured bacterium
Lineage: Bacteria
Description: partial 16S ribosomal RNA
Rfam family: Bacterial small subunit ribosomal RNA
Source: RNAcentral
UACGUAGGUGGCAAGCGUUGUCCGGAUUUACUGGGCGUAAGGCGCGCGCAGGCGGCUGGUCAAGUCCGAUGUGAAAGCUCCCGGCUUAACUGGGAAACGGCAUCGGAAACUGAUCGGCUUGAAGGUGGGAGAGGGUAGUGGAAUUCCCGGUGUAGUGGUGAAAUGCGUAGAUAUCGGGAGGAACACCAGUGGCGAAGGCGACUACCUGGCCCACUCUUGACGCUGAGGAGCGAAAGCCAGGGGAGCAAACGGG